This is a long non-coding RNA of Dendroctonus ponderosae (mountain pine beetle), 573 nucleotides long. RefSeq lists it as uncharacterized. The record is from RefSeq and is a predicted model, not a curated record. Lineage: Eukaryota; Metazoa; Arthropoda; Insecta; Coleoptera; Curculionidae. The transcript has 2 exons.
GAGGCUGAAAAUAAUUGAAGUAAGAGUUAAAAAUAAUCGAAGUAACAGAACUUAGUAGUGAUGGACAUUGGAACAAACUUUUGGAACUCUGUUAAAACCGGCAAAAACACCUGGAAAAGGAGACGCCAAGGAAGGAAAAAGAUUGGAUGACUGAUAAAAUAUUGACACUCAUGAAUACAAGAAGAACAUUUAAGGACAAAGAGAAAGAUCAAUACAAACAAGUCAAUAUUGUAAUUAAGACAAGAUCCGAAAAGCAACAACAAUGGCUGGAGGACAAAUCUACUGAAUCUGAUACAGGCAGAUCAGAUGCCUGCAGAGCCACUAGUGAAGUUAUCAACAAAAUCUAUGAAUCCAGCAUAAUACCGCAAGACUGUCGGCGUUUGUUACCCUACCGAAAGUCGAAAAAUCGAAAGGAUUUAAAAAAGCACAUGCCAGGCAAUGCAGCGACUAUCGCACAAUCAGUGUGAUGAGACACACAGAAGGCAUUUGAAAAAGAGAAGAAUAUAUUAUUCUGAUUGUACCUUGUACUUUCAUGAACAAAAAAUGUAUAAUUAUUACUACUACUGAAUUAGC